This 268-nucleotide long non-coding RNA is filed under the name Mytilus galloprovincialis (Mediterranean mussel). Lineage: Eukaryota; Metazoa; Mollusca; Bivalvia; Mytilida; Mytilidae. The record is from RNAcentral.
UUGUGUUAUUCAGCAGUAUUUAUUUUACUGGUCUCUUCAGACUUUCAUAUAACGAUAAUUUAGUGUUAUGGCUAGAUAUUUCGUAGUCUAUCUUCAGGGAGUAAAGACGUGUCAUUUUAUCAGAGAAUGUUACCAUUUGUAUAUUGAUUUGUUUGCAUACAUAUAAUGGCAUAAAACUGCCUCUUAAACGCACUGGGGAAAUUCUUGUAUUCUUAGUUUUUUUUAACUAUAUUAGAACUUUGAUAAAGUAUGAAUUAUAUUGUUUGGG